RNAcentral lists this long non-coding RNA (7670 nucleotides) under Piliocolobus tephrosceles (Ugandan red Colobus). RNAcentral describes it as "lncRNA (ENSPTEG00000004336.1)". Lineage: Eukaryota; Metazoa; Chordata; Mammalia; Primates; Cercopithecidae. The record is from RNAcentral.
UUUUUUUUUGGCUUAAUAAAAAUGCAUUUUCUAACAUUAAAGAAACGACGAGUAUACAAAAGAAAAUAGCACUAUCAAACAAAUACACAACAGUAGAUCAAUGUAUAAGUAAAAAUGAAGAAAACAAUAGGAAUCAUAUGAACAUGUAUUCUACGAAUAAAGAUAAUGCAAAUAAUAACUUAUUAAAUAAUUAUACCGACAUUUCGAGUUUCUAUAAAAACAAUAAUUAUUUAUAUGAAACUGACAACGCAUAUCAAGACAGAAAUAUCAUUAGAAAUAUAAAUAGAACAAAUAAUGCUCCUACUAAUGUUACGAAUAAUAGUAUUACUAGUGCACCCUUUAGAACCUCCAACAUGUACAACACAUAUAGAUUAGAAUCAAAUGACGUAAGACUAUACGACACGCAAAAAAUGAAUAAAAAUAAUUCCAGUAUGUUGCUACAGAACUUACAGAGAGAAAUUUUAAGUGACUUGUUUGGAAACGGUGAUAAACAAAAUGAAUUAACAGAUGAAGUGGUAAGCGAAAAAGAAAGCGAGCAUGGCAAAAAUGUAGAAGAAUCUUAUAACGAAGAAGAUAAUAUGAUUUCUUAUGUAGACAUGAAAAAUAACAAUAGUGACUACCCAGAUGCAAAAAAAAAAACGCAAAACAAACUGCAAAACAAAUUGCAAAACAAAUUGCAAAAUGAGGUAUCAAUAAACUCACAACAAGUAUCACAACAAACAGUAACAAAUAAUAACAGUAGUGAUGAAAUAUUGUCGUCACAAUAUAAAAAAAGAAAAAGAAAUAACACAUGUAAUGAAAGCAAUACAGUAUAUAAUGCACUAAAUAAAAAAAAAAAAAAAAAAAAUUCUCUUCACAAUAAUAAAACAUACGUAGUUAAUAAAAGCGAUUAUAGUAGUAGAUCUGAGGAAUACGAGAGACCAAAUGUCAACAAAAAUGAAGUUUAUGACAAGUAUGUUGCUAAAAAAAGAGGCCACAGGAGCAGGAAUAACAGUAGGAGUAAGAGUAAAAGUAAGAGUAAGAGUAAGAGCAAACGUAAAAGCAAACGUAAAAACGAAAGCGAAACCGAAAUAGAUAGCGAAACCGAAAUAGAUAGCGAAACCGAAAUAGAUAGCGAAACCGAAAUAUAUAGCGAAACCGAAAUAGAUAGCGAAACCGAAAUAGAUAGCGAAACCGAAAGCAAUAACAAAAGAAAAAGAAAAAACAAGAGCAAAAGCGAAAGCAAAAGCAAAAGUAUAAACCAACUAGAUAACCUCGAAAUAAAUAAAGACUCAAAAAUGUACAGAAACGUAAAAAAUAUAUUACCCACUAAUAAAAAAAAAAUAGAGGAUUUAAAAAUACAAACUGAUAACAUAACUGUUAGUGACGACCCAACUGGUAAUAACGACCUAACUGGUAUUGACUCUACAAAUAAACUAAAAGUAAAAAAAAAAAAUUUACAUUUCGAUUUAGUUAAUGAUGAAGAACAAACUUAUAGGAACCUUAACAACGCAAACGUACUAAAUAAAUAUAUAAAUAAAAAUAAAACAAAUGAUAAGAAACUAACAAAGCAUAUAAAUGAUUUUACAUUUUUUAAGAAAUUCAGUUAUCAUAACGAGGGAAGUGACAAGUUCGAUGACACGCUGAGUAGUAGCGAUGUAGGAAGUGGUCAUGUGGGGAAUAGAUAUAUUGGUAGUGAGAGUGAUGUCAAAGAUACUGCUGUUCGUAACGUCAGUCGUACUAGUAACAAAAAGUAUGUAAGUUCUAUAAAAACAAGAAAUUCAAAAUUUCCUUCACAUGGAAAUGGUGAUAUGCACUUAAACCAAUGUGACGUGUUAGGUAAAGACAUGGUUAGCAAAAAAAAAAGACUUAGUGAAACUAAAUCAAAAAGAAAAAGUAAAAAAAUAAAUAAAUAUAAUAAGCUAAAAAAAAGUUACGAUAACUUGAACAACCUUCUAAAUUCAAUCAUAUCAAAUAGUAGCAGCUUAGAAGAUAAAAUAAACAUUAAUUUGAAAAAAAUAAAUGAUAAUGCGAUAAAUGAAAAAUUAAAUUUAAUCAACCCUAAAGAAACAAAAUCAAUAACACAUAACAUAAAUGAUAAUAAAAUAAAAAAACAAAUUUCAAAAUACACAAAUGAUAAAGAACUAAUCGAACAUGUUUUUUCUGCUACUCCAGAAAAUAAAGUAACAAAUUUUUUAACCUUGCAUUCGAAUCAUAUAUAUGAGGAAAGUCAUGGUGGAUCAAUAAAUAAAAGUCCAAUUAUUGCAAGUCCAAUUAAUGCAAGUCCAAUUAAUGCAAGUCCAAUUAAUGCAAGUCCAAUUAAUGCAAGUCCAAGUAACGCAAGUCCAAGUAACGCAAGUCCAAGUAACGCAAGUCCAACAAAUUAUGACCUGCGCAUUAGCAAUAAUAACGCUUACGACCAUUUUAAUAAUUACAAUUUGAAUGAGUCCGAUAACUUGGACUUAUAUAUGAAUCAUUGUAGUUAUGGUAAAAUGCCUGGUAUUAUUAGCGGCGAUGGUUGUAUAAAUGAUAGUAUACGCGUUUCUAUUUUUAAUGGUGACAUUGAUAAGGCUAUUUAUGUUACCAAGCAUGAAGAAAGUUAUGAUAUUACUAACAGCAUUACUACUAACAGCAUUACUACUAACGGCGUUACUACUAACGGCGUUACUACUAACGGCGUUACUAAUAAAUCGAGUAUUCAUGUUCCUGGUGGUCUUAUUACUGAUGUAAGCAAAGAUGUUACUAAUAAUCUAACAGACGACACAUAUGAUGACGAUGAAAAGAACGGUAUAGAAAUGUCGUUGCACAAUUUGCAAGACAUUAUAACAAAUUAUAUACAAGAAUGUAAACUAAGUAGUACUGUCAUAAAUAACGAUUAUGAAAAUACAAAUGAUGAAACAGAUACAAAUGAUAAAAAAUAUACAAAUGAUAAAACAGGUACAGAUGAUAAAACAGGUACAGAUGAUAAAACAGAUACAAGUGCCACGCACGGUCAAAUAAAUAAGUCAUCACUAUAUACAAAUCAAGAAAUAGCAAAACAUAAUUCGGAAAAAAAUAAAUUGUACAACAAUGGUUAUAGUUCACAUUUAAAUAACACUUAUUUAGAAGAACAAACGUCAAAAAUCCUGGAUAAUGAAAAAAAUGAAAAUUUUAAUAAUAAUUAUAUCAAAAAGGAUAGGACUAAAAGCGGCUUUGAAUGUAAAGUUACCACAGCUAAUUACAAUGACAUACAUAACUCACAUAAUGACAUAGUUAAUGAACCAGCUGACAAUAAUGAAAUUAGUAGUAGUGGUAGCAAUAAUAGUCAUAUUUAUGUUGGUAAUGCUUUACCAUUAUCACCCAUGUACGACUCGUUUAGCACUAAACAAAAAAAAAUAAACAGUGAAAAAGAUAUUGUUAAAAAUAUAAUUAAAGGAUUACAUUUUAUAAGUAAUAACUUAGGUUGGAAUAAUAAAACGUUUAGUGUAAUGUUAUCAAAAAUGAUCAAAUCAAAAACGAGUAAAGAUAUACAAAAACAAAAAACCAACGAACAAAUAUUAAGUAACAAUAACAACUUUAACAACGGGGAAAGUACUAUUUCUAUAAGUGAUAAACAAAAGGGAAUACAUAUCGAACAGCACGAGAGCUUGAAUUGUGGAAACAGUACUGCCAAUGAAACUACAAUAAGUGAUACUACAACUAUUGAUACCACUAACGUUAAUAUAAAUGAAUUGAUCGAUACGUCAAAAUACGACGUCAUUAUAAAAGGAAAGAGUAAGUCAGACGAAGAAAUUGAGUAUACAAAUAAAAAUUAUUUAUCCGAUAACAAUCAGCUAUUCAAAAACUCAGGUGAUAGAGUUAUAAUAGAUAUACAAGCCGAAAACAUAACGGAGGAAGACGCUCAUAGUAUGCCCAUUCAAACACAAAUUCAUUCCGAGUAUGCAGAGGGAUCUGAUAAGCAGAACAUACUAAAUGAUGUAUUAUACACAAACAAGGUAAAUAAAUAUACUAGUAGUAAAAGUGAAGGCACAGGUUUACAUAAUAAUAAUAAUAAUAAUAGUAAUAAUAAUAAUAGUAAUAAUAAUAAUAAUAGUAAUAAUAAUAAUAAUAAUAGUAAUAAUAAUAAUAAUAGUAAUAAUAAUAAUAAUAUACACACUGACGCAAAGGAAGUUCUUAAAAAAGAGGAACAACAAGUAAAUUAUAAAAAUAAAAAAAUGGCUGACGAACAAAAGAAAACGGACUUAUAUAAUAGCAACAGAAAAUAUGAAAAAAGUAAACCACAUGAAAGUUUUAAUAGAAGAACGAGUGAAAGGCUUGCCCGCCAAGCACGCCGUGAAAAUCCAGCACGAGAUGAAGUGCAAACACAAGAUGAAGUGCAAACACAAGAUGAAGUGCAAACACAAGAUGGAGAGCAAACACAAGAUGAAGAGCAAACACAAGAUGAAGAGCAAACACGAGAUGAAGUGCAAACACAAGAUGAAGAGCAAGACGAAACCAAAAGUAAGGAUAUAAUAAAUAAACAAAAUAUACAUAAUAAUAUAACAAACGAACUAACAAAUAAAAAUGGAUCAUUAAUUUCAUCUUCUGCUUCAACACUAAUAAAUGAACAAACUGAAAAUAUAAAUAUAUUUGUUUCAACUAGCUUACCAUUAAAUAGUCACAUAAAUACCACAAAAAAAAAUAAACAUAUGGAUGAAUUUGUAAUAGAACAAAAAGAAUUAUCAAGUAACUAUCACGUUAUUGUUAAUAAAGAAAAUGAUGAUGCUGAAUCAACCCAAUUUUAUGAAAAUAACAAUAUUAAUAAAACGGAUGUAAUAGUGCAACAAGAUAUGAAAGAUAAAUUAGAACGUGACACAUAUGAAAAUGUCAUGACUAAUAAUACACAAACAACAUUACAAACUGUAAGUGAUGAAAAAGACGUAUUAUUUAUAAAAAAAGUACAGGAAUAUACCAACACAAGUGCUAGUAGCAGUAUCGGUGCCACGGCAUGUGCCAAUAUCGACAUCAAUGGGGAUGAUCAAAAAAUCUAUGGCGAAGCUGAGAAAUUAAAUAAAGAUAUCCCAUAUAUAAAUAAUAUUCACAAAGAAUUACAUAGGUGUCCAGUUAUGCCUUUACGUAUUGAAGGUUUUCAUUCAUUAGAAGAUCAGAGGUUAAUAUAUGGACGACCUGAUUGGCAAAAAUAUCUUUGUCCUCUGUGUGAUAAAUCAUAUUACCCACCUAAUUAUUAUCAAAAAAAUUAUACGCAUUAUGUUAAUGUACAUUGGAAUAAUAGAAAGACAUUAGGUGGGUAUAUUAUUUUUCCCUGUAAAUUGAUACAUGAUAAUGAUUCUUUAUCAGAUUUUAACUAUGAAAAUAAUAAAAAAAAUAAUGAACAACAAAACAAGACUAAAAAUUUUAUAAAAUUAAAUAAAAAAAUAAAAAAAAAUAAAAAAAAAAUAAGUGUAGUAGACCCACAUUACCAUUGUCCAUUAUGUUUAGAUAUUUAUUUUACAGAUUAUAAUAUGUUAAUUAAGCAUUGUUUGGAUUUGCAUAAAUCAUCUGCAGCAGAUCCAACAAGAACACUACCUUCUAAUUUUGUACAUACACCUUUUACCCAUAAUAAUGAUUAUUAUUGUACUAUUAACAAAUUAGCAUCAGAAGUAUAUGUAGAUGUAGGUGUAGAUGUAGGUGUAGGUGUAGGUGUAGGUGUAGAUGUACAUCCAAACUUAAAUGGAAAUGAAAAAAAAAAUAUAAAUGAUGAAACAGCAUUGGUUUUAUCUACAAACGUGGGUAACAAUCUAAUAAAUUAUAAAAAUGAUAUAAUAGACAAUAUAAUAGACAAUAGAAACACGAACAAAAAUCAGACCAUAACAGAAGAAGAACAACAACAAGAAGCACAACAACAAGAAGCACAACAACAAAAAGAACAACAACAAAAAGCACAACAACAAGAAGAACAACAACAAGAAGAAUCUACUAACGUUUAUGAAAAAUUUACCAAUAAGUUAUUAAAUGAUGCUGAAGCUAAAAGAAAGAGAAAAAGUGGACGAGUUAGUAAGGUAGCAUUUUUUGAUGAAAUUAAGAUAAGGGAAUAUGACAUAGAACUGUCUAGAAUUGAAAAAUUUGGAGCUUGUGUUGGUCCCGUUGCGACAGAGGAUGAGGAAGAAGAACAAGCGAGUGGAACAGAUUCAAAAGGGGUAGAUUCAAAAGGGGUAGAUUCAAAAGGGGUAGAUUCAAAAGGGGUAGAUUCAAAAGGGGUAGAUUCAAAAGGGAUAGAUUCAAAAGGGGUAGAUUCAAAAGGGAUAGAUUCAAAAGGGGUAGAUUUAAAAGGGGUAGAUUUAAAAGGGGUAGAUGCGAAUGGAACAGAUGCAAACGAAUCGUGUAGUAUUGCCUUAGAACUGAGCACAGAAGCAGAUACGAACAUAGACACAGAAAUAGCUAAACAAAUUUCAUUCGAAAUAGAUAUAAACAAAAUAAACGGUGCUGGUAUUAAGGAGGGCACCCAUAAUAACAUAAACAGUGAAAAUAAAAAAAACGAAGAUGUUAUAACAACUUCACCCCAUCUCAAUUUCAUUAAUGAUGACUGCUUGAGUAGUAAAGAUAUAACAACCAAUGUUUCGUACGAAAUGCAAGAAGAACUGUUACAAAUAAAAGAAAACAAAGCUCUAGAAAAAAAUGUACCAAAAAAUAAAAAAGAGCUGAGCACUACGCAAGUUGUUAAAAAAGGUGGGAAGCGUUUAAAAAAUGAUACAAAUGAUGUUCAUAAUAAUAAUGUCAGUAGCAAUAAAACAAAAGGAAAACUAAAACGGGUAAAUUAAAAGUUGUAAAAAAAAAAAAAUGUACAGAUGGUGUACUGACUGACUGAGUGGAAACAUAUAUAUUUGGUAAUAAUUCAUACAAAUUUUAGGCAUUUUUUUUUUUUUUUUUUUUUAAUAAUAAGGCGGGGGUAAAAAGAAAAGAAAAAUUUUAUUUUUGUUAUUACGGUCGCAUGUCAUUACGGUCGCAUGUCAUUACGGUCGCAUGUCAUUACGGUCGAAUGUCAUUACGGUCGCAUGUCAUUACGGUCGCAUGUCAUUACGGUCGCAUGUCAUUACGGUCGCAUGUCAUUACGGUCGCAUGUCAUUACGCUCGUAUGUCAUUACGCUCUUUUGCUUUCUUAUUCUUUAGCUAGCUUAUCAUUUCGCUCACCUAUUUUUUUUUUUUUUUUUUUUUCUCGCUUAUCCUCUUGUUACGUUUGUCAAUAUGCGUAUAAUUUUCAUUUCUUUAUAAAUACACACUAAUUUAUUAACGUCUUAUACACUUUAUACUUUUAACGCUGCUUACUAUUUUGAACCCAAACGUUUUAAAUAUAUAUUUUAUAAAUAACAAUCUAUACAUUAGCAAUAUGUAUACAUUUUAAUUUAUUAUUAUAUUAUGUCUACUCAUUUACAUCAUUUAUAUAUAUAUAUAUAUACAUAUUAUCGUGCUUUAUUCAUCUUAAUGUGUAAGCUGAGCUAAUGUUUCAGUGAACCCAUCCACUUUUGCAUAAUUUAAAAGUAUAUAUAUUUUUUUUUUUUUUUUUUUCUUUUCUUUUUCUUUUUCUUUUUUUUUGCAUUAAAUAUGAAUAUAAAACUUUCUUUUAAUCUUCUUAAUUAAAUCCUUUUAUUUUGAGCUUUUUACAUAUCUACUUAUGUUCAACUUUUCAAUUUUAUUAGUAAAAUAAAAUAAAAAAAAAAUAAAAAAAAAAAAAGCGG